Small nucleolar RNA from Erinaceus europaeus (western European hedgehog), 78 nucleotides. NCBI's taxonomy places the organism in Eukaryota, Metazoa, Chordata, Mammalia, Eulipotyphla, Erinaceidae. The record is from Ensembl.
GGUCAAUGAUGACACGGCAUGUAUUCUGAAUCUAAAGUUGAUUAAUUUACUUCAGCUCUAGAAUUACUCUGAGACCUA